UCCUACAUCAGAGGAAGUUUAUUGAAACCGUUCUAAAGGAUCAUGGUAUGGAUCAAUGCAAGCCGGCGAAAACUCCGCUAGAACUGGAUCUGCAUAAGGUUUUGGCAGAUGGGGGUGGUGAUGAGUUGAAUCGUCAAGAACAAUUACGAUACCAGUCUUUGGUUGGUGCAUUGAAUUACCUAGCCUGCAACACGAGACCCGAUAUCUCGGCGGCUGUGAGCUUCUUGGCUCAGUAUAAUUCAUGUUGCCGAUCUGUACACAUGAAGGCAGCUAAGCGUGUUCUACGUUACAUAAAGGGAACUUGUUUGUAGACAACCAGAGCGCCAUGGCGUUGGCGAACAAUCCUGUUUCUCACCGGCGGA
Cydia fagiglandana is the source of this 362-nucleotide long non-coding RNA. RefSeq lists it as uncharacterized. Lineage: Eukaryota; Metazoa; Arthropoda; Insecta; Lepidoptera; Tortricidae. The record is from RefSeq and is a predicted model, not a curated record. The transcript is spliced from 2 exons.